GCGUGUAUAGCUCAGUGGUAGAGUGCAUGACUAGUAUGUGGGAGGUCCUGGGUUCAAUCCCCAGUACACAUA
This 72-nucleotide transfer RNA is filed under the name Camelus bactrianus (Bactrian camel). It matches the Rfam family "tRNA". From Rfam's summary of the family: Transfer RNA (tRNA) molecules are approximately 80 nucleotides in length. Their secondary structure includes four short double-helical elements and three loops (D, anti-codon, and T loops). The record is from Rfam by way of RNAcentral. Lineage: Eukaryota; Metazoa; Chordata; Mammalia; Artiodactyla; Camelidae. RNAcentral also lists the same sequence under 2 other names.